AUGCACACACCUGGACUGCCUUCGCUCCCGGCUCAUGUAAGCUCUUAUGCCUUUUUACCUGGCUAUUUUAAUGUCCUUCUAAAAGGGUUCCCAGCUCAAUUCUCACCCUCCUUGAUUCCUUCCUCUACUCAGCUGCCAAAGUGUUUUUCUUACAACCCAACUCUGACAUUGUUAGCCCCACUCCUAAGUCAGCAAGCGCGUGCACGCGCACACACACACACACAUGUGAUUCAGUCACACUGGUCUACUUGCUACUCCUCUAACAAUACACUCAGUUUCCUGUUUCCAGGCCUUUUGCUUAUAUGCUUAGAAUGCUUUCUCUUCUCCAGCCCUGCCUGUGAGCUGCUUUGCCUUUCUCUAAGACUCAGCUCAAAUCCUACCUUCUGCAGGAGUCCUUUCUUAAUCCUUGUCUCUCUUGUUUGCUUCUCUCUUCCUUCCUUCCUCCCUCACUUCCUUCCUCCCUCACUUCCUUCCUCUCUCCCUUCCUUCCUUCCUUCCUUCCUUCCUUCCUUCCUUCCUUCCUUCCUUCCUUCCUUCCUUCCUUCCUUCCUUCCUUCCUUCCUCCCUCCCUCCCUCCUUCUCUCUCUUUUCUCUUUCUUUCUUUCUUUCUUUCUUUCUUUCUUUCUUUCUUUCUUUUUUUGGUGUGGAUAGUAUUAUUCCUAGCUUGCUGGUAGGUCUGAACAAUGUCAUUUUUCCAAAUGAGUUUAAGAGGAAUGAGAUCUAAGGGGCUUCUAUGAUUCCUUUGCAAUGUCUGGAACUCCCUUCCAAGGUUACCAGAAGGAAAAGAUUCAUAAGACCCCAAAUGAGGCUCAACAGUAGAGAAGAGUUGAUCAAUAUCCUUCUAUCACUGAUGAAGAAUUUGAGGAGACCUUAAAUGGGGUGGAAAUUGCAGUAUUUCACUGUGUGUGUGUGUGUGUGUGUGUGUGUGUGUGUGUGUGUGUGUGUGUGUGUAUGUGUGUUGUGGACUCCUUUAGUAGGCUGGUGCAAUCUAUGGAUCACUUCUCAGAAGAAUAGUUUGCUAUCUACAUUCAUAAAAGAAGGAGAUGUUAAAUUUCAAUUAGAAAUUAUGAAUAAAAUAUGUAUUUUUUCCUCA
This 1093-nucleotide long non-coding RNA is filed under the name Monodelphis domestica (gray short-tailed opossum). RNAcentral's name for it is "lncRNA (ENSMODG00000040502.1)". Lineage: Eukaryota; Metazoa; Chordata; Mammalia; Didelphimorphia; Didelphidae. The record is from RNAcentral.